RNAcentral lists this ribosomal RNA (186 nucleotides) under Enterobacter mori. RNAcentral describes it as "partial 16S ribosomal RNA". It matches the Rfam family "Bacterial small subunit ribosomal RNA", at positions 1 to 180 of the family's 1533-position model. The record is from RNAcentral. Lineage: Bacteria; Pseudomonadati; Pseudomonadota; Gammaproteobacteria; Enterobacterales; Enterobacteriaceae.
AAAUUGAAGAGUUUGAUCAUGGCUCAGAUUGAACGCUGGCGGCAGGCCUAACACAUGCAAGUCGAGCGGUAGCACAGGAGAGCUUGCUCUCCGGGUGACGAGCGGCGGACGGGUGAGUAAUGUCUGGGAAACUGCCUGAUGGAGGGGGAUAACUACUGGAAACGGUAGCUAAUACCGCAUAACGUC